This 382-nucleotide ribosomal RNA is filed under the name uncultured archaeon. RNAcentral describes it as "bacterial SSU rRNA". It matches the Rfam family "Archaeal small subunit ribosomal RNA", at positions 497 to 880 of the family's 1478-position model. The record is from RNAcentral.
GAGAUAUUGGGCCUAAGCAUCCGUAGCUCGUUCUGUAAGUUUUCGGUUAAAUCCACGCGCUUAACUUAUGGGCUGCCGGGAAUACUGCAUAACUAUGGAAGUGGGAGAGGUAGACGGUACUCGGUAGGAAGGGGUAAAAUCCUUUGAUCUAUUGAUGACCACCUGUGGCGAAGGCGGUCUACCAKAACACGUUCGACGGUGAGGGAUGAAAGCUGGGGGAGCAAACCGGAUUAGAUACCCGGGUAGUCCCAGCUGUAAACUAUGCAAACUCAGUGAUGCAUUGGCUUGUGGCCAGUGCAAUGCUGCAGGGAAGCCGUUAAGUUUGCCGCCUGGGAAGUACGUACGCAAGUAUGAAACUUAAAGGAAUUGGCGGGAGAGCACA